CUGGGCUCUCCCCUUUCGGGGAGCAAUCAGUUUCUCCGCAGGGAAGUCUGUCCUCAGACAUUACACGAGGGACAGUUGGGUACAGUGACGGCCUCUCAAGCUGGACCACCUGGGUCCAAUGCGUCCACCACCCUUGACGAGCCUGUGAUCUUGGGCAAGUUACUUGACUUCUCUGAGCCUCACUUUCAUUGCCUGUGAAGUGGAGACAGAAUAAGGCACACCACACAGGAUCAUUGGGAAGCCCAAAGGACGUGACGUGAACAUGCGGACAGCAUCACCUGGUCACAGGCUCGUCUUCUCUCCUCCCAGCACACUCCAUAUGCAAGCCCACUCCACUUUGACAUUCCUGAUGUCAACUUCCUAUCUGGUGGGGCUGACGCUGUGACUCUGGCUGGUGGUGUUAGGUGAGACCACACCUGACACAACCCCUCAGAUCUCGAGGAACAAGCAAGCCUAGGAGGGUCACUGAAUGCUGGGGACACACUCACUAUCACAAAACGUUCAAGAGCUUCAGACAGGGGCUGAGCCACGGCCUCUGAUUGCGAAAGGACUGAGAACCCCUUGAGAUGGCCUGGAACCCUGCCUGCGUUCGGGACUCAGGAGCACGCAGCCAUCAGGAGGGCUGCAAGAGGGAGCAACAUGCCUGAGAGAAAGUCACCAGAAGCGAGGAGCCUGGCAGGGGCCUGUGACGGGCAGCAGGGCCGGCCAUUAGAGAGGACCUGAUUCCCUCAGUGGAAGUCUUACAGGAGCAAUGCCUGACCUCCCCCACAAGGAGGAAUUCUGCCAGCGGACAGCCCUCCCCUGUGAACUCUCAGAUCUGGAGGCUCUUCUCUGGGCCUCCAGCCUCCUGUAUUUUAGACUUGCCAGGCUCCAAGAUCACGUGAGCCGAUUCCUUAAAAUAAAUCCCCCCUCUACACACACAGACACACACUCACACACACCCUAUUGGUUCUGCUUCCCUGGACAAUCCUGACUUACACAAUCACGCUUAGUGUUUCAAAGUUCAGUUGGUGAUUUAAUUGACCGUGCCUCCAGCUCUCUGUGACCCAGCAUAGCAGAGUGCAAGGGUGAGCCCAGAACAUCUUGGCUGUCUCUUGCACCAUGCCUCCCAGCCCCCCCUGUGGUACUGCGGUCAUGCAUUUUGGGUGGAGGGACCCCGCCCCUCACUGGAGGCCCACCUCCAGGAUGCAGGGCAAUUUGCUUUACUCGAAGACCACCAGUUUAAAUGUAAAUCUCAUCCAAAAUCACGCUCACAGAAGCAUCCAGAAUAAUGUUCGACCAACUGUCUGAACCCUGGGAUCCCACCCAGCGGACACGUAAAAUUAACCAUCACAACUAUUCCAUUUGUUCUGCAAAAGUGAAAAAGACGCCCUUUUUUGUCAAGAUAGACCCUAAGUACAAAAGAGUCUGUGCACUUUCUUGGGACAACAUAAUCCACUGGCAUAUGGAUCUUCCCACCUGCUGGGGUGCUGGUUUAUGAUACGGCCAAAACUGGGUCUUCCUCUUGCAGUUCAGGGGUCCUUGCGUCUGAGCGAGCUGAGGAAGGAGGGAGGGACUGGCGCACAACCAAAUUCCCAGGCUUGAACUGGCCCCAACCACCUCUGGGAAGCAAAACAUCCAGAAAAAGGCAAAUUAGCAGGACCUGUUUCAGGAAGAAGACAAGUGCUGUCCAUUGCAGUUUUCACACACAUUCUGGGCGUGGUACCUCAGGAAAAUUGGAAAUCAGAGCAGAGGAGAAAUUAGGGAGGUGAAUGGCAUCCUGAUCUUGCCUUGCAGGACCUGGGCCCCGUUCCUGAUGGUAAGGAUGAAGACAGAAACCCCAAUCCUUGGGCUGCUAUUGGCUCAGCCUCAUGGGAAACAGAUUCUGAGUUUCUCUCUUGUCAUUGCCUUAAAAUUUUCAGCAACUUAGUAGCUUCACUAUAAAAUGGUUAUUGUAAAAUACUUGUAUUAAAUUUAUUUUUAUGUUUCUUUUAGGAAAAUGAA
Molecule: long non-coding RNA, 1983 nt
Organism: Equus caballus (horse)
Lineage: Eukaryota; Metazoa; Chordata; Mammalia; Perissodactyla; Equidae
Source: Ensembl